UUUGUUGAGCACUUACCAUAUUCAGGAGUGUAUGCCUGGCCUCCUAUGUCAGGUCUUAGCUUUCCCAGUGAAGUGGGAGUGGAUACAGAUGAAGAGAAAUGGAGUGAUAACUGCUGUGCAGGGGGCUAGAGACUGCUCAGCAGCUAAGAACACUUGCUGCGCUUCCAGAAGACCCUGGUUUGAAUCCCAGAUCCCACAGAUCGGCUUACAACUGUCUACUUCUGUUCCAGGAAAGGAGCCAGGUAGACAGAAAGGAGUUAUAAAAAACGAAAAUGAAACAAAAGAACCAUCUAAAUUACUAAGGGCAAACAAGUCAUCUUCUAUUUUUGCU
Apodemus sylvaticus (European woodmouse) is the source of this 331-nucleotide long non-coding RNA. RefSeq lists it as uncharacterized. The transcript has 3 exons. The record is from RefSeq and is a predicted model, not a curated record. Lineage: Eukaryota; Metazoa; Chordata; Mammalia; Rodentia; Muridae.